RNAcentral lists this long non-coding RNA (20551 nucleotides) under Marmota monax (woodchuck). The stretch from base 20060 to 20129 matches the Rfam family "tRNA". The record is from RNAcentral. Lineage: Eukaryota; Metazoa; Chordata; Mammalia; Rodentia; Sciuridae.
UGAUUAAUAGUAUCAAGCAAGAACAAGCUCGUAAAUCACACGAGUUACAGGUGAGACCCUGCAGCUAUUUAAGUCUGAAUAUUCUAUUUAAUGCUUGAUGUGUUGAAAGCAAAAAUUAGUGAAUUUGUGAGUAUAACUAUACUUUUAUUCAAGAAUGGUUUUUAACUUUGCUCAAACUUUCUUUUUUAAAUUAUGGUUAAGAAAUAACAAAAUUUACUUUCAGAUGUUUUUUAAAUGUUGUAAUUAUGUUAUCAUGUAACAGAGCUUAAGAACUUUUAAAUUUUAUUACAAAGCUGAAACUAUGUGCCCCUUAAACAAAAACUCCUUAUUUUCCCCUCCUGCCAGCUCCUGGCAAUCAUACUGUUUCCUCUUCCAUUGUUUUGAUUACUCUUGAUAUCUCACAUGAGUAGAAUUGUAAAGUGUUUGUCCUUUUGUGAUACUGUUAUUUCACUCAGUAUAAUGUCCCUAGGGUUCAUCUGUGUUGUAGCAUGUAUCAAGAUUUCCUGUAUUUCUGGUUGGAUAAUAUUUCAUGUGUGUAUAUAUUUUCUUUUAUCCAUUUAUCUGUCAACGUUUGUGAUAUUUCUACCUCUUGAUUAAUGUGAAUAAUGCUUUGGUGAAUUUUGUUGUGCAAGUAUAAACCUAAGAUGCUCCUUUAAUUCUUUUGUUGUAUACCCAGAAGUCAGAUUGCUAAUCAUGUGGUAGUUCUCUUUUUAGUUUUUUGAGAAACUUUCAUAUUGUUUUCCAUAGUGGCUAUACCAUUUUACCUUCUUACCAACAGUACAUAAGAGUUCUGUUUUUUUCUACAUCCUCACCAACUUAUUUUCUGGGUUUUUUUUUUGUUGUUGUUUGUUUUGUUUUGUUUGAUAGUAGUUGUUUUUUUACAGUUUAGAUUUGCAUUUUUCUAAUGAUUAGAGAUGCUGAGCAUCCUUUUGAAUUGUUGAUCAUCUCUGUUGUUUUCUUUGGAGAAAUGCCUAUUCAGGUUUUUCCCCACCCCCAUAUUUUACUUUGCAUUUCGAGACAGAGUGUUGCUGAGUUGCUGAGGCUGAUCUCAGCAACUUUCGAUCCUCCUACCUCAACUUCCCGAGUCUCUGGGUUUACAAGUGUGUGCCACCAUAUCUGGCUAAGUUGUAGGAAUUUUUUAUACAUCCUGGGUAAAUAUUUUUUUUAAAUAUAUUUUUAGUUGUCAAUGGACCAUUAUUUUACUUAUUUAUAUGUUGGUGCUGAGCAUAGUGCCUCACACAUGCUAGGCAAGCACUCUCCCACUUAGCUACAAACCCCAGCCCAUUCUGGGUAUAUUUUAAUUUAACUAUUUAUCUAGAGAACUUCACUCAUGCUAGGCAAGGGCUGUAGUACUGAGUUAUAUCCCAUAACCUUACAUUCAGGAUAUUAACCCCUUAUCAGAAUUUAUUCCAAGUCCCAUUUAUCUGUUUUUGCUUUUGUUACAAAUGCAGUAUUGCAAUAUGUGGUGUAAUGAAGAUUUCCCCCUGUGUUUGAGCUUUAAGGGUUUUGUUGAGAAAGUUGGUGCCUACAUCUAUAUGAUGGAGUGUUGACCCCAUGUUUUCGUCUAAUGGUUGUAAACUUUCUGGUCUAAUUCCUAUGUCUUUGGACUAUUUCAGUUUGACUUUUGUGCAGGGUAAGAGAUAGGGAUAUGGUUUCAUUUUGCUACACAUAGCUGUCCAGUUUUCCCAGCACCAUUUGUUAAAAGUCUGUCUUUUCUCCAAAAUAUAUUUUUUGCACCUUUGUCAAGUAUCAGACGGCUAUAAGUAUGUGGGUUUAUCUCUGUCUUCUACUCUGUUCCAUUGGUCUUCAUAUUUAUUUUAAUGCCAAUGCCAUGCUGAUUUUGUUACUAUAACUUUGUAGUAUAAUUUCAGAUCAGGUGUUGUGAUACCUCCUGCAUCACUUUUCCUGUUGAUUAUUGCUUUGGCUAUUCAGGGUCUCCUUUUCUUUCAAAUGAAUUUAACACAUUUUUUUUCUAAUUCUGUGAAGAAAGUCAUUGGUAUUUUGAUGGGGAUUGCUUUGAAUCUGGAUAUUGCUUUUUGGUAGUAUGGCUUUUAAUGCAAUCUUAAGGGGAAAAUAAGUAGGCUUGAAUAUGGAAUAGAGACUAGUUAAAUAUUUUGAAGAAGAAUCUUAUAUACAUUUAAAAGCCUAGUAGUUGGUUUGUUUCUCUGUUUGUGGAAUCACUACCAAUCUUUUCACAUGACCUACAAUUGAGAAGGGAAGAAGAGAAAGUGAAAGAGAAAACUAAAUAAGAUUGUAUUAGGUGGAAUUAAUAUGUAAGCAUGAAUACUGAGCAUAUCACUAUAACAGUUCCUCUCUUUUGUUUCUCUUCAUUCCUAUUUAAUUCUAGGUACUUGACUUGUAGUUCUUGUGCUAUCCAGUCUUGGAAAUUUUAAUUAAUAUUUCAGUAGUAUGCAUUUCUUGAAUAGUGUGAUAAGUGAUGCUCAACUUGAAUGUACCUGCACCUCAUUUCACAAACUUUAGCUUAAAUAGUUAUCAUUAAGAAAUUUAGUCUUCAUUACAGAGGAUGUUGUCUUAAGGUAGAUUGUUAUUUUAAAUUGUAGAUAGUUUUCUGACUACUUUUAUUAGUAGAGAAGAAUCUUCAAAUAAAUUUGGCCCCAGUAGUUUAUAAUUCUUUUCUUUUUUGUUUUAAAUUCUAUCUUUAUACAUACAAAGCUAAGCUUUUUACAUAAAUUAUGGAAAGAAAUACAAAGUAUUAAAAUAAUAUAAGCUUAUUGAAUAUAUGACUGGUCAUGAUUAUCUUGCUUCAGCAGCUCUCUGAAUUUUUUUUCAUUACUGCUAUUAAAAUCAUUUAUAAAUUUAUUAUAACAAUGUAUAUUUUAAAUUUCUGGUGGCAAUAAGAAACUUCAUAUUAAUGAUUUAGGUUUUUUUCCCCCUUAGAAUCAGCUUAGUCAAUGUAAUAAUGCCCUGGAGAAUUCUGAAGAAUUGCUAGAAUUUGCGACAAGGUCCUUAGAUAUAAAGGAGCCUGAAGAUUUUUCAAAGGUACAAAAAAAAACACUUAUGAAAAAAAUUUACUCUAAUACACUUUAUAAAGGAGUUAACUCCUUUAGUUUUGGAUUUGUUUAUUCAUUUCUUUUUAAUUUAUUUUAUUUUUUCCCUUUUUUUUUCAUUUUGUUGUUCAGUCAUUUCUAAUGUUGAAGAAGCUUGGGAUUUCUGGAUAAUUAAAAUGCAAACUUCUCAAGCUGCUUUGUUUUAAAGGAGACACUUAUUAGUAUGUAUCUUUGGGAUCAUGAAAACGUUAACUAUUUUAGUUUAAUUUUUCUUUACUAUUCAAUUCAGAUGAAUCAAGUUACUUUCCUUUUAGUUAUAUCUCUAUUGGUAAUUAUUUAAAGGUACUUAUGUACUUGAAUGGAGUCAUAUCUUUCUUUUAGACUUUUCAUGACCGAGGAAAGAAGAUUGGUAUUACCAUUGAUGUGGUUCAAAACUAGUUUUCUAAGAGUUGAUUGGGAAAACAUUAUCAAUUGAUACAUAUAAGCAUUGUAACCCUGUGAAACUUCUUAUUGGAGACAAAUGUCCUGUUAUUUAGCCUAAUUAAUUGAAUGUUUUAUUAAAACAUGAAAAAAUAGGUCCUUGUUAAAGAGUAUGUUUGGAUGGAAAUAAAAGGAGUAAAAGCAGGUAGCUUAGCUUGCUUCUGUUUUAACUUAGAGUCUCUCAUUUAAAGGAUUCUUAUUUUAUUAUUUUUUUAAUUUUUUAACUUUUUUUUUUUUUUUUUAGUUUUUGGCGGACACAACAUCUUUGUUUGUAUGUGGUGCUGAGGAUCGAACCCGGGCCACAUGCAUGCCAGCUGAGCGUGCUACUGCUUGAGCCACAUCCCCAGCCCCUAUACUUAUUUUAAAUAGGGUGAUUUUAAAAUGAUUUUCAGUUUAUCAAUUUAAAACUCAAGGAUGUAGAAUUAGCAAAGACAAGGUAUGAACUAGGGGAAAUUAAACUAUAUAAUUAACAAAAUGUUACUGUAUAGUUUAUCAGGAUUAGAUUUAAGUUUGAUGUUCCUAAUUGUGGACUAGGCAGUGAAUUUUAUUAAUGUUAGAAAGGUACUUUUUAUAGUCCAUUUGUAUCUAGUCAGUGUUUUCAUUCUAUGACUUUCCUGUGAACUUGAGGUAGAAAAAAACUCCUUGAUAACAUUUUUACCCUAAAUCUUUGCAUUUUUAAAGAUGAACUUUAAAAAUUAAUUUAUUCUUUUAACAACAUAAAUCAAAGUAGACUACUACACUAAUUAAUUCUUAGAUUUGUAGGUGAGUUGUAAAAAGUUUACCGUUGCAUUUGUAGGACUUGCUGUGAAAAGGAAUUAUGAGGAAACUUUUUCUUCAAAAUACUUUAGUGUAGUAUGAGAUGUCCCCUAUAUACAGGGCAUUCACGUGAUAAACUUAAAUAUCUGGAACAUAGCCAAGAAACAUGCAGAAAGUAAAAAAAAAAUAAUAAUAUUUUGAGUCAUCAAAAUCAUUGUUAUAUGGAGUUCAUGAACAGGAAUUUAUAUUCCCUGUUCACAAUGAUGACUCAGAGUCUGUUGACUAUUAAUUUGAACACGGUUCUUCUAAUUUUUAGGGUGUUUUUUAAUAAUUCCUACUUGUCAACAGAUUCCCCUUCUGGUGGAGUAGGGUAACUGUUUCUGGCCAGUUUAAUCCUAACAGCAGGAGUUAGCCCUAGAGUGAAGAAGACAGGAAAACUAAAAAAUGUGAACACAAGAACUCAGUUGUGUUUAAAUAGGACUAUUACUUGGAAAAACUGUGAUAAAUGUUUAUUUAUUUCAAGUUUCUCUUUUUGUUGACAUUUUCAGUAUAGUUCUCUCCUCUUCCUCUCAAAUGCUGCACAUUUCUCUUUCUCUCUUCUUUGUUCUUUCUAUUUUUAAAUUUUUUUCCCAAAAAUUGUAAAUUGGAAAGGUUCUGAUAAAUCACAUUGUGGUUUAAAAAUAUUUUCUUAAUAUGCCACUUUGUUUUUUCAUUAUCUAAUUUGGUCUCUUCUCCCAGCAUUUUAUAGUACUUCUUUGUAUCUUAAACCAUUUGGAGAGGUGAAGAAAUGAAUUGUCAGUCUUUCCUAACCAGAAAUGUGAGUUUAUUCAAGAAAAAUUCUUAACUGCUUGAAGUUAUUUUCUUAGUAUCACUUCCUUAUCCAUCUGCAGUGGUCUGUAGGCCUGCUUCAAACACAUAGUUGUUGACAAAAUAAAGAGAGGACUUUUAAGAUUAAUUAUUAGACCAAUAGCAUAUUGUUAUAUCUGGAAAAAGAAAUUCUUUUAAGGCAUACUAUUUGUGAAUAUUUAAGUGCUUAAAUCAAAUUAAUAAGAAUAGUUCAUGGGAACAAAAACAAAUGAUUAAGGAAAAAUCCAGGCAACGGGUCCUAUCAUACUUCUUAUCUUUAAGAGUAUCUUACUACUAAUAUUUACAUUAUCAUGUUGCCUUACAUCAGCAUGAAGCUGCUCUGUUCACCACCAUCAUACAAUCUCAAAGUAAGCAAAUAGAAAUAGCACAAAUAGGAUGGGAUUUUUGAACAUAUUUUUACUUAAAAAAAAAAAAACCUACUAGAAGUUUGAUUGAUAGUAAGUAUAUGCAGAACGAUCACCAGCAAAUGGGAUACAAAUUAUUAGGUUUAUUGCUGGAUGAACAAGUUGCCAAAGCUCUACCAAGUCUGACCUUUCUGCUAAUAACUUGCCUGUGGAACACUGCUUGGAUCCUUUUCUUCAGAUGAUAUUCUUAUUCUAACCCUGAAUGUAGACCUUGAAUUCUCCCUAUGAAAAGAGUUGGGUCAGCAGAACAGUUUCCAAGUCAAUAUAAUUAAUUUGCCACCUCAUUACAAUGCAGUUGUCAGACUAGAAGUGAGCGAAUUGUUUCCUACCCAUGAGUGCCCACAGUAGAAUAAAAAGUGCAGAGUAGGGUAAAAGGGGAGCAGUGCCUUCUGCAUUUUACCACAGAUAAAUACAUUAAAGUGGGUUUAAUAUAUUUCUCUCUUCUAACUCAAAAUAACUCACUACUGGAAUAUUGUUCAGCAAGUGUCAGGCUCUGGCCACUGGGAGGAGAAAACAAGAAAAGAACUCACGCAGCACUUUCAAGGGAAAAUUAUUGGCGGAAGCUACUCAUGUUGGUUGAAGUCAGGAAUGCUGGGAGAGGAGAGGACCUUCAACAACAUUCUUUCAUUUUGAAGGCAAUUUAAAAACAAAUAUUUAUUAUGUAUAGCUCAAUCUAUAGUUUUCACCUUUAUAUGAAUUCCUCAGUUUCAAAGUUUGUUUCAAGUUAUUUACUGUGAUUUUGUGACAAAUACUUUUUUUUUUUUUAAUUUUUUAUUGUGGGUUGUUCAAAACAUUACAAAUUUCUUGACAUAUCAUAUUCCACACUUUGAUUCAAGUGGGUUAUGAACUCCCACCUUCACCCCAUACACAAAUUGCAGAAUCACAUCAGUUACACAUCCAUUGAUUUACAAAUUGCCAUACUAGUGAGUGACAAAUACUUUAAACAAUUGUGAUUUUUAAAAGUUCUUUUGUGAACAGAUAAAUAUAUGUGUAAAAAAUAUAAAACUUUUGAUGUAUGGAGUCAUUAGAAGGAUGAUGAUUUUUAUCUAAAGGAAAAUAGUAUUUUGAAACUACCUCUUUUUUUCCCCUUUGUAUAACAAGACAAAAAUGAUAAUAUUACGAAUAAAUGUAGAAGUAAUGAGUUGUUUCAGAGACCUAAAUAGUGAUGUUGAGUAGUGAUGUAACUAAUGACUAAUGCUUCUUAGAAGCUUUCCAGUGAUAUACAAUUCCAUAACCUAAAAUAAGUUUAAGCAUUUACUGAGACUUCUUCAUAACUCGUUAAAUGGAGUUAUGCAGAUAAAAAAUAAAUAUGCAAGCAGCAGAGCUAUGGUAAAUCCUGGGAUCAGUUGGUACUUAAUUCUUAAUUAAGUACCAGAUGCUUAAUUCUUAAUUAAUAAAAUUUAUCAUUCUUGAAAUUGAAAUAGAGGAAUCAAGCUGUGUAGUAAUAUGUAUCUUUUGGUUAGCUUUCUGCUUUGGGAGAAGAAAUUCUAGAAAAAAUUUAUUUUCCAUUUUAAGACAUUUCUUAAAAUUGGACACUUUUAGAGAAAUAUCUUUAGAUUUUGAAACUUUUCUUUCUUAUUGUACAAGAUAAUUUCUUUUUUUAUGGUGCUGGGGAUUGAACCCAGGGCCUUGUGCAUGCAGGACAAGCACUGUACCAGCUGAGCUAUAAUUUCUUAAAUUCUGCCUUCAUACAGUAUACAUACAAUAAAAUUUGACCUUUGGAAGAGGAGUCACAGAAUUUUCAAUUUUAUCAACAUAUAAAUAUAUGAGAAAACCCUUUUUCCUAGAUUAUCUGACUUUUCAACUAUUCCUUUACUGUUUUUUCACAAUGUGAUAUAUGAAAUAAUACCAUAAAAACUUUGCAUGCAUGCAUAUGUGCACAUACACACAAACACGAAAAAUGAUUCACUAAAUUAAGCAACACUAGACAUAAAAAAGAAUCAUCUUGGUCAGUUUAAAAAAUAGUAAUGAUCUUCAUAUCAUUGGGUUAUAUAAGGGAGAUCGAUAAGUAGCAUUCCUCCAACAAAGUUCACAACCAAUUAAGAGUUAAGGUAAAACAAUAAAACUGAUAAAAGGCCAAAUGCUGAUAAUAUAAUAUUGUAUAAUAUGAGUUAUACCAUUGGGCAAGUUUCUUAGUAUUGAAUCCCAGAAUUAGACAGACUAGCCCUCCCACAUUUGUUCAACAGUGGCUACCUCAGUUUACUGUGGGUGGGAGUCCUCUUUCAGUGAAACUGAAAGCAGAGAGGGAAGGAACACAACAUGUAUUCUCUGUGGGCAAACAAACUGCCAGAAAAAGUGGAAGAUACUGAACUUCUCAUUUCUAUUUUGUCCUUUCAAACUCAUAAUCAAAUAAGUCAUAUUACUUACCAAGAAGAAAUGAGGGACUAGAAAGGUUAAAGGAGUAAUGCUAAUGGCAUUUCCUCCAUGUGUAAAGAAAUAUCAGGUACAGAGGAGUCCCCUCUUUCCCUCCCUUGUAUUUAAGAUCUUUGUUUUGUAAUUCUAGCUAUGACAGUAAUUUUUAAAAAUCAGUAUAAUUAACUUUCUUUACAUUUCUUAUCCCUGGUACCAAACUAGUUUCAUGUCUUAAAACACAUAUAGAUGCCUUCCACAGAAUUGGACUGUUUGCUGUAGAAUAAAGACCUUGGAAAGAACUUUUAGAAUCAUUAAGGAUCAAAAUCCCUUAGUAAAGAAAUAAAAUGAUUAGUAUACAAGGUUACAGAGUUGGAUAAUGGUAAUGCUGGAACUGUGUAACAUAAUUAUCUCUGAAAUCUCAGUGAUAUUCAGACUAAAAUAUUUUAGGGUGGUUAUAAAAGUGACCAAAAGUAGAAUCAGUGUUAGAAUUGAAGGAGAAAGGCCAAAGAAGCAUAGCUAUAUACAUCUAAUUAACAUUAAAUUUAAUUAAAUAAUACUAUUACUGCAUACCAGGCAUUAUGCUAGGCACUAGGGAUAGAGUUUUCAGCAAAAUGGCCAUGUUCUACCUUUGAUAUAUUAUUAACUGUGCUUAAUAGUGUGAGAGAAAACUUUUGGCUAUAUUAUAUUGUAUACAAAUGUAAAAGGCCAAUAGUUUUUGCAUUUUCAUUGUUUUUCCAUGAUUGGACCAACACCAAGUUAUAACUCUGUCCCCUUCUUAAACUUGUACCUAAAAAAAAAUAAGACAUAUGUAUAAUAGGUUAAAGUUUGCAGCUUCUGUGAAAUCACCUGAGGGAAAGAAAGACCCCAUUUCUAGAAGUACUUCUCUGGUCCCUCCUCAUCUGAAUUUCUGGCACUACAACCUAAUUCUUUGGGGUAAAAGACUCGUAAGCUGCAGCCUAGUUUUGUACAUUAGCAGGCAAACUCUAGAAUGCAAAGUUCUUAUCUACUCAAACAUCUCUAAAGAAAAAUUAAAGAACAGAUUUGACAUGUACAAGAAAAAUCACUAGGAUGCACAGAAGUGUGUGUCCCAUAAAGAGAUUUAUUCUAGUUGAAAAAUGUCAGACUGAAUGAAAUGGAGGUGUGUUUUAAUGACCUUAAGGUAAGAAAAAACAUUUAAAGUCAUUUAGAAUUAGUUUGGAGUGUUUUUCUCCUUUUAAGGGAUUUAUAUGGGGUCUGGUUUUUCUAUUAAGUUCUAACAUCACAUCAUGCAAACUUAUGUGAACGGUACAGAUUUUCUGUAAUUUAUGUUUUGGUGAAUAUGAACAACUAAUCUAUUGCAGGGUUUAUAUCCUAACUUUUCUUGCAUGUCACUGCCAUUGAAACUCGCAUGAAAAGCACUAACUACCUUCUUUCUCUUCUCCCUGAUUUGCUUCAAGGCUGCCAGACAGAUCAAGGAUAGGUAUGGUAUAAAAACUAUAUUUUAUUUAAGUAUCAAUAUUGAAGUCAGAAAUGAAAUUCAGAAAUAGUUUUUUAUUAGAAUUUUGGUUUAAAUAAAAAUGCCCAAUGGCCAAGUAUUUUUACAAAAUAAAGAUAUCUCUAUAUCCUCUUGGGGUAAUCAGUAAGAUUUUUUUAAAAAAAAUGUGUUUCAAGAACAUAGUUAUGGACAAUUAUGUGCUUCCAAAAGAAUUUCAUUUCUGGUAUAAUAAUAUAGUUAGUUUUAGAAAAGUUCUUAACUAGUUGUAUUAGUGGAGAGGGUACUAUUUUGAAUAAUUUAAAAAUAAGUAUUCCUGGAAUGCAUUUUCAUUGUUUUUAGAUUUAAAUAUAAGCAGAUCUUAUUUUCAGAGAAGUCACAGUAUUUUAAAAUAAGUCCUCAAUAGCUAAAGUUCUUAUACUUCACUCUUUAACACCUUUGUAUUCUCAUUCUAUCCUGUUCCUGGUGCCAUCUCUUUCUGUUUCUAAUGCCAUCACUAUCUAGUUUAUGUUCUGUGGGAAGAGAAAAUUAUUAAAGACGUUAGCUUAGAAUGUUUUUCUCAUUGGUAGAGGUAAUAAUAAAAAAGAGAACUUAGCAGUUGCAAAAUGAAUAUAUCAGAAUGCUUAAAUUGCUGCUGGCUACAUUUGGAUUGUGUUCACACAGCAGGAAUGGAUUUGGUCUGCUUGACCAGUCAUUGAGCAUUGUCUGUAGAGAGAACAUAACUUAAGGUUCUUCAUCUGAGGAUCAUAAGAAUUUCUGAAAGGCAAAGCUCUUCAAACAUUAUUCUGAAUCUUAUAUUAAAUUGUUGUUCAUCAGAUAAUUCAUGAAAAUACUCCUUUUGGAUUGUAUGAAAAAAACCAGUGUAGCCAUUGUUAAUUUUUGCAGGAAUUUUCAAUUCUGGUUUCUCUUAUUUUUUAAUUUGACUAGAAGGCAAGAUUUACACAGUAGUAAAAGCAUUUUUAGCACAAAUAUUAAUUUUUUAUCUUUUAUAUUUUACAUCAGGUAGUAGUUAAAGGUAUAGGUUGUUCUUAUACAUCCUGGAUAUAGAAAAAAGAUUAUGAGAAGUUUUUAUUUUAUUUUAUUUUUUCAUUGUUUUUUUUAAGAGACAAGGCCUCAUUGUGUUGGCCAGCUGGACCCAAACUCCUGGGCUCAAGCAGCCCUCUUAUCUGAGCUUCCAAGUAGUUGAGAUUAUAGGCACAUGCCACCAUUCCUGAUGUGAUUAUGAGAGGUCAAAGGUGAAACAUUAGCAAUAUGAGUAAUGACUAAUACAAUAGUUUAUUAAUGAAGUAGAUUUGAGUUGUGUCUGCUGGAAUUUGCUAUGAGCAAUCCAAAUUCCAUUCUGCCUAGAUUAUUUUUCCUGUUUAGCUACUAUUCUGUUACAUUCUCCUCUGGUUCCUUAUUUUUUGUAUUAGAAGUCACUUCCUAAUCAGACUUUGGGCUGUCCAAAGACCUUGUGAGAGACCUUGCAAAAUCUUCAUUUCAAGAUUCUGUAUGGUUUUGCUUCCCAGAAUUCUGUCCUUAUUCCUGAUCUCUUUCUCUUUGUCCAGAUUUGGCAUAAUUUUAUUUUAUGAGCACCUUUCAUGACUGUAUUCUUCACUGAAGCUUGACUUUACUUCCUCUUCUCAGCCAGCAGGCCAGGAUUCCUUAUUUCUGUUAGGGAAAAUUUCACUUUUUAAUUUGUUUUGCUCAAAGUUUAUAUAUAUAUUUUUUUAUUUUUUGGCUACUUUCAAAGUAUUUGCUUCCUGCCUGAGGAGUAUUUCUGGGUCUUAGCUUAAUUAUUUAAACACGAUUUUAGCUUCAUAAAACCCAGAUUUCCCUAAUAUAGUUUCUGAUCUCUCAGAAAACGAGUUUCUAGAAUUCCAUCAUUACCUUUUGUAGUAUGAAAAUAGUUUUAAAAUAUAGUCAUAAUGAAAUAUUGUUUCAUCAAGCUAAGAAGGGAUUAUUCUCUUAUGUAAAGAUGAAUUUUAAGGAAGAGUUUAAAAUCUGAGCAAGGAAUCAUAUUUUUAAAAAUGACCAAAUUAUAUUGUUGUAUUAUGUGCAUGUACAAAGAUGUAACAAUAAAUUCCACUAAAAAUUUUUAAAAUGAACUAAAAGUAUAUUGAAACUUCAGUAUCAUUUGCUAUGAUUUAAGGUAAAAGAAUGGCAGGAGUGAGAAGGAAAACUGAAGACUGAGAAAUAAUACAUGGCAUAUUUCCAAAAAUUUAAAAUCACUGGUGUAUAACUUAGGGAACUUGGUAAUUUGGGAAGAUGAUUAGUUGAGAGAGAGAGUGAGUGAGUGAGUUAUUGCUGGGUGUGAUGGCACACUGAGAAAGGGGGAAUCAUAAUUUUAAGGCCAGCCUCAGCAAUUUAGUGAGGCUCCACACAACUUAGCGAGACCCUGUCUCCAAAAAAAAAAAAAAUUAAAAAGAGAUGAGGAAUGUAGCUUUAUUGGUAAAGUGCCUCUGAGUUCAAUUCCCAGUAUACCCCCCACAAAAAAAAAAAAAAAAAAAAAAAAAAGGAGAAAAGGAGAGAAUUAUUGGUUCUUGGAAGAGAAGGAUCAUGAAGAGGAGAGGCAAAUUAGGUUGUCUGAGAAAAUUAAAUGUGUUCAUGUGUUUUAUAUAGUUGCUUUAUCUUUGCAAAAAGAAGGAAGCCAUCCUUGAGUUCAGCUGAUACUAUUAGAAGUAAACUCAUAAGCAAGUCAAGGUGAAACAUGCUUAACCACAUGAAUCUCUAGAGAUGAUUUAGAAAUUUGAGAUUUGUAAUUUGGGCUUUGAGGCACAUUUGUUUAAAUAUAUUCAGUUUAAAAAUAAAAGAUAUUGAAAGAGUGUAGCAUGGUUGCAUAUUUGAAUUGAUUCAUUUGAACUUUUAAGUUUUCAUUGACUAGGAACCAGUUUUAUUUUAGGCUUUGCUAAACCUUUCUAAUCCACUUUUGGUAGACAUUCUUUUUGUUUGUACUUAUAGUGAUUAAAUCAAGUUUUAUAGAUUUUUCAGGUUUCAUAUUUUAAAUUUUCUAAAAUACUUUCUGAUAAUUUCCCUCAGCAUUUCUCGUUAAAGAGUCAUGUUGUUUAUCAGGCUUAGAAGAAACCAAGUAAGUUCAAACCCAUUCACUGAUUUAGAGAGUGUUUAGUAAGAACCUAUUUUAAUGUAACUCUUACUGAUGUCUUCAAAGGAUACUUGAGACUAUAAAGAACAACAUACAAGACUAAGCGUUUAUUCCUAACUUCUUGAUAUAAUUUGAAAUUUAUUAUUUGAGAAUAAACAGCUUAAUGUAAUAAGUGUGGAAUACUAGCAUUAUAUUUGUCAAUACAGUAAGCAGUCAUUUUGAGUUCUCUUCCCUAUAAAUUGAUUUUAAUGUAGUACUUUCUUUUUGGUAAAUAAAUCAACUGUUUAUUCAUUGUUGUGUAGUGAUUACUUUUUUAGUUGUAAAUAACUGAAAACAGCAACAUUUUGACAUUUUUCAUUUCCAAAUAAGUGAAUACAUCUCUGUCUUGGUUAGAUUUGAUAGAUCUGAUUGACUAGGCGUGGCCUGGUUCCCUUUGUUCUUCCAUCUCUAUUUACUUUCUCUCCCAAAUUAGGUACUAGGAGAAUGCAUUCAUGAAUAGUGCUUCUGUGUACCAUUCUUUGAUCAAAGAUUAUAAAGGACUUUGUAACACCUGUGGAAAUUUACUGUUAAUUUGAAAUAUAAUGAUAGUAAAAGGGUUUUUUUUGAUCUCUAGUUUUAAUUGAAAAUAGUUUCCUUACACUAUUGACAAAUUAAGAUCUAGCUUGGCUUCAUUCUUUUUUUUAACUUCACAUUCAUCUAGUAAGUGUUUGUUGAAGUCCUAUUAUUUCCAUGGCAUGUAGUUCCAUGGGGCUGUUUCUCUUAAUAUCCUUCCAUGUAUGUAGCUAAUGCUGACAGAUCAGUGACCUCUGCUGGUAUGAUAUUCACUGGUCAUGAUUUCACCUUUUUCCUUUCUCAUCCAUGGCAUGUCUUUAACAGGUACUACUAUACUAUACAAUAUUAUAUCCAUCUGCUUCAAUUCUUGUUGUAGGGCACACGAUGUAGCUAUUACUACAGGGGAGAAUGUUUGAAUCAGGUUGUAUAUACACUUCACUAUUUGGCAUGUGAAAAGGAGUGGGGGUGGCAUCAGGAGGUCAGUAUGAUUGAGUGUACAGAGGUUCAGAUGAAGGUUGGGUCUGGUAAGGAUUAUUUAUAUGGGAUAUUUCUUUUAUUGAUAUUGGCACAUUAUACGGUUGUAUAAAACUGGAUGGAAUUGCUAAGUUAUCUUAGAGGUCUUUAAAAGGCAUUUUUCAGAUUUUUACUUAAUUUUCAAAAGACAGAUUUAUAUUUGACUGUUCUAGUCUCUGAAAUCAUUAGAAUGAAAUAAUUUUUGUCUUUUCAUUUUAUACAUUAAAUGAUUUGAUACUUCUUGUUCUUCUGUUUUAAAAAGUAUAUUUGUGUUUACCAUAGAGUCACAAUGGCUUCAGCCUUUCGCCUUUCUUUGAAACCAAAGGUCAGUGACAGCAUGACUCACUUAAUGGUGGAUUUCUCUCAGGAAAGACAGAUGCUGCAAACUUUGAAGUUUUUGCCAGGUAAACAGCAUGUAUUACAUGUACAGUUUUUAAUAAAAAUUUUUCCUGCAAUGCUUUUCUGUAAUGAACAUUGGUAUAUUAAAGAAGCAUAGUGUGAUUUUUUUUCUUCAUUCCACUAAAUAUUUAAAUUUGGUAGUCUUUAUUUUUAGAGAAUUAUUUUACUGGUAGUAAAUAUUCUAUUUCAAGAAUACCAUUAAGGAGUAUCAUUUGAUGGUUAACAGUGGGUCUUUAGACCAAACUUUUUUAGAUUUGAAUUUUGCUGUAUACUUGCCAUGUAAUCCUGAACAAGUUAUUUGACUUGCCUCAUUUCUGCUUCUUUAGAAUGUGAUAUUAUUCUAGGGUUUUUGUAAGGAUUAAAUGAAUUGAUACUUCUAAGGCAUUUGUAUAAUAGUAUAUGGCACAUAGUUAAAGCUCAGAGGAUGUUAGCUGUUGGCAUAUUAUGUGAUUGUAUAAAGCUGGAUGGAAUUGCUAAGUUAUCUUAGAGGUCUUUAAAAGGCAUUUUUCAGAUUUUUACUUAAUUUUCAAAAGACAGAUUUAUAUUUGACUGUUCUAGUCUCCAAAAUCAUUAGAAUGAAAUAAUUUUUGUCUUUUCAUUUUACAAAUUAAAUAUAUAUGUAUAUAUAUAUAUAUAAAAACAGCAGAUUGUAUUACAAUUCAUAUUACAUAUACAGCACAAUUUUUCAUAUCUCUGGUUGUAUAUAAAGUAUAUUCACAACAAUUCAUGUCUUCAUACAUGUACUUUAGAUAAUGAUGUCCAUCACAUUCCACCACCUUUUCUAACCCCCUGCCUCCUCCCUUCCCUCCCACCCCUCUGCCCUAUCUAGAGUUCGUCUAUUUCUCCCAUGCUCCCCUUCCCUACCCCACUAUGAAUCAGUCUACUUAUAUCAGAGAAAACAUUUGGCAUUUUUGGGGGGGGAUUGGCUAACUUCACUUAGCAUUAUCUUCUCUAACUGCAUCCAUUCACCUGCAAAUGCCAUGAUUUUAUUCUCUUUUAUUGCCAAGUAAUAUUCCAUUGUAUAUAUAUAUAUGCCACAUUUUUUUUUAUCCAUUUAUCUAUUGAAGGGCAUCUAGGUUGGUUCCACAGUUUAGCUAUUUUGAAUUGUCCUACUAUAAACAUUGAUGUGGCUGUGUCCCUGUAGUAUGCUGUUUUUUCGUAUAGACCAAGGAGAGGGAUAGCUGGGUCAAAUGGUGGUUCCAUUCCCAGUUUUCCAAAGAAUCUCCAUACUGCUUUCCAUAUUGGCUGCACCAAUUCCACCAGCAAUGUAUAAGUGUGCCUCUUCCCCCGCAUCCUCGCCAGCACUUAUUUUUGUUUGUCUUCAUAAUAGCUGCCAUUCUGACAGGAGUGAGAUGAAAUCUUAGAGUAGUUUUAAUUUGCAUUUCUCUAAUUGCUAGAGAUGAUGACAUUUUCUCAUAUAUUUGUUGAUUGUACAUCAGAAGAAAGAUAUACAAAAAUUAACUAAAAUGCAUCAAAGACCUUGCAAUUAGACCAGAAACUAUGCAACUUAUAGAGGAAAGCAAAGGUCAACACUCCAGCAUAAAGGACAGGUAAUGAUUUUUUUCAUUAGGACCCCUAAAGCUUGGGACAUAAUGCCAAGAGUUAAUAAAUGAAAUGGUAUUAAAUUAAAAAGUGCCUGCACAGCAAAGGAAGGAGUAAUGUGAAAAAAGAACCUACAGAAUGGAGGAAAAUCUUUGUUAGCUACAUUUCCGACAGAGAAUUAAUACCUAGAAUAUAUAAAGAACUCAAAAAGGUUUGCACCAAAAAAACCACCUAAUUAAUAAAUGGGCAAAUAAAUUAAACAGAAACUUCAUAAAAGAAGAAAUAAAAUGGCCAUUCACACCAGUCAGAAUGUCAGUCCUCAGGAAUUCAAACAAUAAUAAAUGCUGGAAAGGAUGUGGAGAAAAAGGAACACUUACACUGUUGGUGGGAUUGUAAAUUAGUACAUUCACUAUGGAAAUCAGUAUGGAGGUUCCUCAAAAGACGAGGCAUGGAAGCACCAUACGACCCAGCCACAAUAUUUAUCCCAAAGAAUUAAAGUCAUCAUAGGGAUACAGUCAUACCCAUGUUUUUAUAGCAGCACAAUUCACAAUAGCCAAACUAUGGAACUAGCCCAGGUUCCAUCAACAGCUGAAUGGAUACAGAAAAUGUGGUAUAGAUACACAAUGGAUUUUUAUUCAAUCACAAAAAAUUAUUUAUUUGCAGGAAGAUGGAUGGAAUUUGAAACGAUUAUGCUAAGCAAAAUAAGCCAAAGUCAGAAGAUCAAGGGUCAUGUUUUCUCUCAUAUAUAGAAGCUAGAGAGAAAAAAGGAAAAGAAAGAUAAGGGGUGAUCUCAUGAAAAGCAAAGGGAGACCCGCAGAGUAGAGGAAGGUAGGCCAGCGGGUGAGAGGAGGGGAGGAAAGGGGAAAGCUCUGGGGAAAGAUAUUGAUCAAAUUAUAUUGUAACAACAGAUUCACCAUUAUGUACAAAUACAAUGCACCUGUAAAAAAGAAAAGUAGCUCCUUUUCAUUUCAAACUUGGUUUUCUUCCUAGAACAAUGUAUGAGUGUGCCUUUUCCUCCACAGAGGGUACCACUGUUACUAACAUCUGUUUAUCUUUCCUGAAAUAGUCUAAAUCUAUACAAACAUCACCACAUGUAUAUGCAGAAUCAGGUAGUUGCUAAUAUUUGGCAGUUUUUACCCUCAAAAAGAUAAAUUUGUUUCAUUCAGUCUAAUAUAUAAUCCACCCCCUUUUGAAAAUGGAAGCAUACAUAUACACUGUUAAAUACUUUCUCUUUGCCACUUGACAAUAUGUAGGAGUUCUUUCCAGAUCAUUAUAGAUCUACUUCAUUUUUAAAAAAAUAACUAGAUAGUAGGAAUUUAAUUAGUUCUUCUUGAUGGAUAUUUAAGUUUAUGGUCUUUUUCUAGUAGUGGCAAUGAUGUGGUAACAAAAUGCUUAGGUAUUUUGCAGAGAUAAUAUAUCAAUAUGUCUCAAGGAUAAAUUUCUAGAAAUGGAAAUGUAUGUGUAUUUUAAAUUUUAAUAAUUAUUUAAAUUGUCAAGGAAAUUUCACAAUUUAUGCUUCCCUGAAAAUAUUUGAAUGACUGUAUUCUUAUACAGCCACAGUUUUCAGAGUUUUUAAUUUUUUUCAUUCUAUUCUAAUAGUGACAUAUGGGUUAUCUGAUUGUUUUAAUUUUCAUUUCUUUAAGUGUGAAUGUAUUUAUCCUAUCUUCAUAAGCCACUUUAAAAAAUGAACUCCUUAUCUAUGAUUUUUCAUACAAUGGUUUAUAUUUUCAUUAAUGAUAUAUAGCACCUUUUAGUAUAUUAAGGAGGUUAGCCUUUGGUCCUAUAUGUGGCAUAAUUCCCUCUUAGUCAUUUGUCUAUUGGUUUAUAAUGAUUUUUUUUUCCUAGCAGAAAUUUUAAUUUUUAUAUAAUCAAAUAUGUCACACUUUUUCUUUGUGACUUUUAGGUUUUAGAAAGACCUUACUUGGACCUUCCCCAUUGCAAGAUUAUAAAAAUAGAUAUACUUACUUUUUUUAAUAUUCUUUUUUGGUUGUAGAUGGACACAGUACCUUUAUUUUAUUUAUUUAUUUUUAUAUGGUGCUGAAGAUCAAACCCAGUGCUUCUCACAUGCCAGGCAAGCUCUCUACCACUGAACCACAACCCCAGCCCCUAGAUUCAUUUUCUUAUGUUUGUAGCCUUUUAAAACUAGACUUUAAUAUUUAGAACAAUUUUAGAUACAUAGUAAAACAAUGGAAAGUAUGAGAAUUUCCCAUAUACCCACAAAACAUGCUUAGCUCCCUCAUUAUCUACAUCACCCAUCAGAGUGGUACAUUUGUUAUAACUGAUAAAUCUACAUUGACACAUCAUUGUCACCUCAAACUCUGUAGUUUACAGUAAGGUCCACCCUUGGUGUUAUACAUUCUAUGGGGUUGCACAAAUUUAUAAUGACUGUAGCCACCAUUAUAGUAUCAUACAUAUUAUUUUUAUUGUCCUAAAAAUUCUUUGUAUUCUGGGGCUGGGGUUGUGGCUCAGUGGCAGAGUGCUUGUCUAGCAUGUGUGAGGCACUGGGUUCGAUGCUCAGUACCGCAUGUAAAUAAAUGAAUAAAAUAAGGGUUCAUCAACAUAUAAAAAAUUUUUUUUUAAAUUCUUUGUAUUCUGCCUCUUUAGCCUUCUCUCCUCCCAACCCCUAGAAAAUACUGAUUCUCACCCUUUCCAUAGUUUUGCCAUUUCCAGAGGUCAUAUGGGUGGAGUCAUACAGUAGGUAGCCUUUUCAGAUUGGUAUCUUUUACUUAGUGAUAGGCAUUAUGUCCUCCAUGCCUAGUUUUUUGUAGCUUGAUAAUUCAUUUCUUUUUAGCACUGAAUAGUCCAUGUACCACAGUUUGUUUAGGGCAACUUGGUUUCUUCCAAGUUUUGGUAAUAAUGAAUAAAGCUGCUGUAAACAUCUAUAGGCAGGUUUUGUGUGGACAAAGGUUUUUCAGCUCCUUUGGGAAAAUACUAAGGAGUGAGGUUUCUGGAUACUAUAAUAAGAUUAUGUUUAGUUUUUCAGGAAACCUCCAAUACGGUCUUAUAAAGUGUCUAUAUUAUGUUGCGGUCCCACCAGCAAUGAAUAAAAUCCUUGUUGCUCUACAUUUUGUUGCUUUACAGCAUUGGUACUGUAGUGUUAUUUCAUUGUUGUUUUAAUUUGCAUUGCUUUAAUCAUGCACCACAUGAGGUAGAGCAUCUUUUCAUAUACUUCCUUGUUAUUUGAAUAUCUUCUUUGGUGAAGUCUCUGUUUAGAUCAUUGGCCUAUUAUUUUUUAAUUCUUAAUCUGAUAAUUCCAUCACCUCUGCCAUAUCUGAGUCUGUUUCUGAUUCUUCUUACAGUCUUUUCGGACUGUAUUUUUUGUCUAUAGUAUGCUUGUAAUUUUUUCUUUAUAGCCACAUAUGAUAUAUUAGGUUAAAGAAACUGUUGUGAAUAGGCCUUUGAUAAUGUGAUGGUAAGUUAUGCAGGGAUAGGAAUCAUUUUAUGGUGUUUUGAUUAUGUCUCAGUCUUUUUGUGAAUCUGUGCCUUUGAACUAUGAACUUUACAGGUGCAUCUCAGUAGCCCCCACUCUUACUUGCCCUUAGGUAGAACAAGAUGGCUAGAGUGGACUGGAGUGAGACUGCUAUUUCCCUUUGUCCUGGUGGAGUAGCCAGCUAGAGUUUUUUAUUUCCUUUCACCCAGCUCAGUUAGGCUCAGAUAAUCCCAAAGGGGUUAGACUCUGGUUAGUUUUUUUUUUUUUUUGAGAGCAGAUCUUGUUAAGGAAAACAUAAGCUCUGGUGUAUUUCAAAAUGUUUCCUUUUCUACUCCCUAUGGUAUAAAUAUAAGUGGAUUUUCCUCCAUUGUUCCUGAUGACAACCUGUUAAGCUCUUAGAGGAAAAAUUCACAAAUAGUAGGUGCCCUUCUACAAUUGGAGCCACCUGGGGUUUUUGACUCAAACCUACCCACACUGAGCCUCCGGCAGCUCAUCAAUUACAGUUUAGGUAUCCUUACCCCAGCACUGGUUUCUGCUUAGGUUUUUGCUCUAGUAAAUUGUGACUCUCUGUAUUUACCUGUUUGUCUCUUCAUAUUGAGGCCUUUUAAUCUCAAGUCUCUUACAGGUCUAAGAAUUAUUAUUGAUUUUUCAGUUUGUUCAACCUUGUUUGUUGUUAGAAAGGGGUGGCUACUACCAGAUUUCUUAUGUAUGUGCCAGAUUGAAAAGUAGAAGUCCCUGGGAGUAAAAUCUGGGUAAUUAGCAUAUGUAUCAUCUCAAGCAUUUAGAAUUUGUACUGGAAACUUUCAAAACCUUUUGCUGUUUUAACAGGUCUAAUGAAUUAUUGUUAACAAUAGUUACCCUACCUGUGAGGCACUGGGUUUGAUCCUCAGCACCACAUAAAAAUAAAUAAAGGUAUUAUGUCUAUCUACAACUAAAAAAAAAUUUUUUUAAAGUACAGUGGGGUAGGAGGGAAGAAUAGAAGUUCAUUGGAUUAGACAAAGAAAAAUGAAGGAAGGUGGCGGGAUGGAAUAGGAAAGAGUAGAAUGAAACAGACAUUACUUUCCUAUGUACAUAUAUGAAUACACAACCAGUGAAACUCUACCUCAUGUUCAGCCACAAGAAUGAGAUCCUAAUUAGAAUUUGUCAAGAUACACUCUACUAUCAUGUACAUCUAAAGAACAAAUUAAAAAUCAGAAUAGGGCUGGGGAUAUAGCUCAGUUGGUAGAGUGCUUGCCUUGCAUGCACGGGGCCCUGGGUUUAAUCUCCAGCACCACACACACAAAAAAAGAAAAAAGGAAAAAAGUACAGUAUGUUCAGAAAUAACAAGUCAUUCUCGAUUAUUUAUCCUUAGCAUGUUUAGAAUUUACCUUUUGCCAUCUAAGAUUUUAGUGAACGUUGAAUAAGAAAAAUAGAAAACUUUAUAGAUUUUUUUAUAGCCUAUCAUUAAAAGGUGCUUUGAAAAUAGUUUAGGUUGGUUUAUUUAUUCACUUUUGAAUAGUUCAAAAGCAGGAUGAAAAAGCAAAGCUUGGAUGACAAACAUAAAUAUUUUAUUAGUGCUAUAAUAAAUGAGAAAUUAACUCCCCUACACACAUACUUUUGUUUCUUCUCUUCAGUCCCUAAAGCUCCAGAGAUAGACCCAGUGGAGUGUUUGGUGGCUGACAACUCUGUAACAGUAGCUUGGAGAAUGCCAGAAGA